Molecule: ribosomal RNA, 371 nt
Filed under: uncultured fungus
Lineage: Eukaryota; Fungi
Description: eukaryotic LSU rRNA
Rfam family: Eukaryotic large subunit ribosomal RNA
Source: RNAcentral
AUAUCAAUAAGCGGAGGAAAAGAAACUAACAAGGAUUCCCCUAGUAAGCGGCGAGUGAACCGGGAAGAGCUCAAAUUGUAAAUCUGGCGUCUUCCAGGGCGUCCGAGUUGUAAUCUAUAGAAGUGUUUUCCGUGGCUGGACCGAUGUCCAAGUUCCCUUGGAAACAGGAUAUCAAAGAGGGUGACAAUCCCGUACUUGAUAUGGCCAACCAUUGCUCUGUGAUACACUUUCUACGAGUCGAGUUGUUUGGGAAUGCAGCUCAAAAUGGGUGGUAAAUUCCAUCUAAAGCUAAAUAUUGGUGAGAGACCGAUAGCGAACAAGUACCGUGAGGGAAAGAUGAAAAGCACUUUGGAAAGAGAGUUAAACAGUAU